Transfer RNA from Enterococcus saccharolyticus, 72 nucleotides. It matches the Rfam family "tRNA". Rfam says of the family: Transfer RNA (tRNA) molecules are approximately 80 nucleotides in length. Their secondary structure includes four short double-helical elements and three loops (D, anti-codon, and T loops). NCBI's taxonomy places the organism in Bacteria, Bacillati, Bacillota, Bacilli, Lactobacillales, Enterococcaceae. The record is from Rfam.
GGUCCGUUGGUCAAGCGGUUAAGACACCGCCCUUUCACGGCGGUAACACGGGUUCGAAUCCCGUACGGAUCA